UAGAGGUGGUGUUGCCAUCCUAUGAUUGC
This 29-nucleotide non-coding RNA is filed under the name Homo sapiens (human). The record is from RNAcentral. Lineage: Eukaryota; Metazoa; Chordata; Mammalia; Primates; Hominidae.